Molecule: non-coding RNA, 98 nt
Organism: Xylariaceae sp. FL0804
Lineage: Eukaryota; Fungi; Ascomycota; Sordariomycetes; Xylariales; Xylariaceae
Source: the annotation of a GenBank genome assembly
GGCUUGGUGGUCUAGUGGUAUGAUUCUCGCUUAGGGUAACACCCUGAAGCUCCUUCACGAUAUGCGAGAGGUCCCGGGUUCAAUCCCCGGCCAAGCCC